AGGGCACCACCAGGAGUGGAGCCUGCGGCUUAAUUUGACUCAACACGGGAAGUCUCACCAGGCCCGGACACCGGAAGGAUUGACAGAUUGAAAGCUCUUUCUUGAUUCGGUGGGUGGUGGUGCAUGGCCGUUCUUAGUUGGUGGAGCGAUUUGUCUGGUUAAUUCCGAUAACGAACGAGACUCUGGCCUACUAAAUAGACAUUGGAUCAUUUAUGGUCCAUUGCUGCUUCUUAGAGGGACGGGCGGCUUAUAGCCGCACGAGAAUGAGCAAUAACAGGUCUGUGAUGCCCUUAGAUGUUCUGGGCUGCACGCGCGCUACACUGAAGGAAUCAGCGUGUGUACCCUGUCCRAAAGGACUGGGAACCCGUUGAACCUCCUUCGUGAUGGGGAUUGGGGAUUGCAAUCAUUCCCCAUGAACGAGGAAUUCCCAGUAGGCGCGAGUCAUAAACUUGCGUCGAUUACGUCCCUGCCCUUUGUACACACCGCCCGUCGCUACUACCGAUCGAGUGUUUUAGUGAG
This 519-nucleotide ribosomal RNA is filed under the name uncultured eukaryote. RNAcentral's name for it is "SSU rRNA". It matches the Rfam family "Eukaryotic small subunit ribosomal RNA", at positions 1172 to 1725 of the family's 1831-position model. The record is from RNAcentral.